ACAGAGGUCUCAAGCGUUGUUCGGAAUCACUGGGCGUAAAGGGUGCGUAGGCUGCGCCGUAAGUCAGAUGUGAAAGCUCAGGGCUCAACCCUGAAAUUGCAUCCGAUACUGCGGUGCUAGAGAAAUGAAGGGGAGUCUAGAAUUUUCGGUGUAGCAGUGAAAUGCGUAGAUAUCGAAAGGAAUACCAAAGGCGAAGGCAGGACUCUGGGCAUUUUCUGACGCUCAUGCACGAAGGCUAGGGUAGCGAACGGGAUUAGAUACCCCGGUAGUCCUAGCAGUAAACGGUGCACGUUUGGUGUGGGCGCAUUCGACCGCGUCCGCGCCGGAGCUAACGCGUUAAACGUGCCGCCUGGGAAGUACGGUCGCAAGAUUA
This 373-nucleotide ribosomal RNA is filed under the name uncultured bacterium. RNAcentral's name for it is "bacterial SSU rRNA". It matches the Rfam family "Bacterial small subunit ribosomal RNA", at positions 525 to 896 of the family's 1533-position model. The record is from RNAcentral.